This 1194-nucleotide ribosomal RNA is filed under the name uncultured bacterium. RNAcentral describes it as "bacterial SSU rRNA". It matches the Rfam family "Bacterial small subunit ribosomal RNA", at positions 30 to 1222 of the family's 1533-position model. The record is from RNAcentral.
GGAAAGGGGGGCGUGCUUACCAUGCAAGUCGUACGAGAACGCUUCAGCUUGCUGAAGCAAGUAAAGUGGCGUACGGGUGAGUAACGCGUGGGUAAUCUACUUCCGAAUCGGGGAUAACAUUGCGAAAGCGAUGCUAAUACCGGAUGAUAUUCGUUGGAUUUCGAUCUUUUGAAUCAAAGGUGGCCUCUCCUUGGAAGCUACUGUUUGGAGAUGAGCCCGCGUACCAUUAGCUUGUUGGUGGGGUAAUGGCCCACCAAGGCCGCGAUGGUUAGCUGGUCUGAGAGGAUGAUCAGCCACACUGGAACUGACACACGGUCCAGACUCCUACGGGAGGCAGCAGUGAGGAAUUUUGCGCAAUGGGGGAAACCCUGACGCAGCAACGCCGCGUGAGUGAUGAAAGCUUUCGGAUCGUAAAGCUCUGUCAAGUGGGAAGAACCCACAUGGUGCUAAUAUCGCCAUGUGCUGACGGUACCACUGAAGGAAGCACCGGCUAACUCCGUGCCAGCAGCCGCGGUAAUACGGAGGGUGCGAGCGUUAUUCGGAAUUACUGGGCGUAAAGGGCGCGCAGGCGGUUGCAUAAGUCAGAUGUGAAAGCCCGGGGCUUAACCUCGGAAGUGCAUUUGGUACUGUGUAACUUGAGUAUGGGAGAGGGAAGUGGAAUUCCUGGUGUAGAGGUGAAAUUCGUAGAUAUCAGGAGGAACACCGGUGGCGAAGGCGACUUCCUGGACCAAUACUGACGCUGAGGCGCGAAGGCGUGGGGAGCAAACAGGAUUAGAUACUCUGGUAGUCCACGCAGUAAACGGUGAUCACUAGGUGUAGCGGGUAUUGACCCCUGCUGUGCCGCAGCUAACGCAUUAAGUGAUCCGCCUGGGGAGUACGGCCGCAAGGUUAAAACUCAAGGAAUUGACGGGGGCCCGCACAGCGGUGGAGCAUGUGUUUAAUUCGACGCACGCGCAGACUUUACCUGGGUUUGACAUCUCGGGGAUCUCUAUGAAAUAGAGAGUGCCCUCGGGGAGCCCGAUGACAGUGCUGCAUGCUGUCGUCAGCUCUGUCGUGGAUGUUGGUAGUUCCGCAACGAGCGCAACCCCUAUCUUUAGUGCAGCACUUCGGUGGAACUCUAAGAUACUUGCUGUCACGGAGAUAAGAUGGAGACUCAGUCUAUGCCUAUGUCAGGCAUUACACUGGCGUCAAAUG